GCUAGCUGAAAACCACCUACUGCACAUUUCAUCCUAUCAAAGGUGAUUUGGACUUGUUUGGUUACAUAAUUUGUCCUUCAUUUGCAAUAAUAACUUGUCAUUUUUUCCCUGCACCUACUUGAAAAUUUCAUUAAUUCAUCAUUAACUCAAAAGUUUAUAUUUCAGCGAUGGGAAAAUGUAAAGAUCUACUUUUAUUCCUUAUUCUUGGUAAAGAUUUAUCAUAUCAAUUUGGCAUAAUUAUAACAAUCUUCUUUAUAUCUACUUGCCCACCUCUCACCUUCUUCAUUCUCAAACACGUCACUUGAAAGAAAAUCCACACAUUGAAGAAAAUUCUUGGCAUAUUUUGUCUCAGGGAGUCACACAGUGGCAUAGUGAUAGAGAUACAUUGCCCCCAUUUGCUUAACACAUUUUGGCAUUAGGUGAAGCUGUAUUUCUUUGACAUUUUGGUAUAUAUAGUGUAAAUUUUAGCAAUAGAGUUUAAUUUAUUUUUGCAGUAGUGCAACUUUGAUACUGUACUUAUGUAUUUAUUUGAUCUUGUGGUAGUAUAGUAUAUGCACUAGAUGGUUGUUUUUA
Molecule: non-coding RNA, 573 nt
Organism: Cicer arietinum (chickpea)
Lineage: Eukaryota; Viridiplantae; Streptophyta; Magnoliopsida; Fabales; Fabaceae
Source: RefSeq, a predicted model, not a curated record